Molecule: unclassified non-coding RNA, 5520 nt
Filed under: Agrilus planipennis (emerald ash borer)
Lineage: Eukaryota; Metazoa; Arthropoda; Insecta; Coleoptera; Buprestidae
Description: serine/threonine-protein kinase 10, transcript variant X3
Source: RNAcentral
UUCAGGCGUGGUGCAGAAAGGGGGUCGGGGAUUGGCUCUUCAAAAAUUAGCAUGGCUGACUGUUUUAACGAAGAUGUGAAAAUCCCAAUAACACAGCAAGAGUGCAAAAUAGAGCGCGAGUAUUAUUUUUAGUGCAUGUUUUCAUAUUUUUAUUUGAUCGUGCAAAAUAUUAAGCAAGUACUACUUAAAAUAAUCAAAUUCACUGCACAAGUAAAAUAGGGAUUAUAAACCAGAGUCCAACAUGUGAACUUACUUCAGUAAAUUAAUAUGAAGAAAUGAAAAGUAUUUAUGCACAAGUGAAAAAACUGUAAAGUUAGUGAUCAUGUCGUUUUUUAAUAAUAUCAAAAAAGUGCUCCAUUUGGGAGGAAACGAUGCGAAAAAGAAAAAAGUGUUUAAUAAUGUGCGAAUGGAAUGCGACCCCAAGGAGUACUGGGACAUGAUUGGGGAGCUGGGGGAUGGGGCAUACGGUAAAGUGUACAAGGCACAACACAAGCAUACAGGGCAGCUUGCAGCUGCAAAAAUGUGUCGUCUUGAUGGAGAAGAGGAUAUGUCUGAUUUUAUGAUUGAAAUAGACAUUCUAUCUGAAUGCAAACAUCCAAAUGUAGUCGAAUUAAUUGAAGCAUUUCAGAUUGAACAGCAGUUAUGGAUGCUUAUAGAAUAUUGUGAUGGUGGUGCUGUUGAUAGUAUAAUGACUGAGUUAGAAAAACCGUUAAAUGAACCACAAAUUACUUAUGUGUGCCAAAAUAUAUGUAAAGGUCUGCAGUUUCUACACAAGUCUCAUAUCAUUCAUCGAGACCUUAAGGCUGGAAAUGUACUACUGACUAUGAAUGGUGGGGUCAAAUUAGCCGAUUUUGGGGUGUCUGCAAAAAAUAAGUCGACCUUCCAGAAACAUGACACCUUCAUAGGCACCCCGUAUUGGAUGGCCCCGGAAGUGGUACUCUGCGAGACGUUUCGAGACAAUCCGUACGAUUUCAAAGUUGAUAUAUGGUCUUUGGGUAUAACGCUUAUCGAGUUUGCUCAAAUGGAGCCGCCAAACCACGAGAUGUCGCCUAUGAGGGUACUUUUAAAAAUUCAAAAGUCUGACCCUCCCAAACUGGAACAGCCCUCUAAAUGGUCUAAAGAAUUUAACGACUUUGUUUCAAAGGCUCUAACGAAGGAUCCACAAAAAAGGCCUACCUGUGAAGACCUUUUAAGACACCCAUUCAUUAAUUGCACCAUCGACUCUAAGCCCAUUAGGGAUCUAUUGUUAGAAUACAAGGCUGAUAUCGUGGAGGAGGAAUUACUGACCGAUGACGAUCCAGAGGACAAUCGAGCUUCCCAAGUUCCUCUGGAUAUCGAAGAUGACACUACUUCUGUAAAAAGUAACGAAGUUGAUUCUUCUAAACCCGCGGACACAGGACAAGCUAAACGGGAAAUUGAAGCAGAAAAUAUCGACCCGAAAAAGCUCAAAAAGGAGAACUCUACCGAAUCAACUACUUCUGUUCAAAGCAGGUCUUCAGCAGAAGAAGAGAAACGAUCGGCUGAAAAACGAGAACUACAAAGAAAAACGUCAAGAGACAAGGGCCCCGCUCCGUUACCACCCCUUCCACCUCCUCAAACUUCCGUCGAAUUAAUCAGACAAAGUAGCACUGAAAAAGAGAAAGCACCAGAAGUUCCUCCCGUUCCCGUAGUUUCGAUCGCUCAAGUGCCUCCUCCUCCACCUCCACCACCUUUACCACCUGUGCCAUUGCCAAUUCUCCCUACGCCACCUUCGUCACCACUUACACCACCAAGUACACCUCCCUUACCACCACUUGUUCCUCCUGUUUUACCAUCUGCCAAAACUUUACAGGAUCAAUUGAAGAAAAUCCAAGAAAAGAAGACAAAACAACCAGAAGAAAACGAAAACAAAGAUGCUACCAACAAGAAAAUUUUGGAUGGACAUAUUGAGGCUGUUAUUACCAAUAAGAUUGUUCCUCAUAUUCCUGCAGACAAAAAAGAACUGGAAAUUGACAAUAAGAUUCGACGAAAGUCAGUUGGCGAUGAUUUGGAUAGGAAUAAAACUGAGGAAAUUGAACGAAACCGUAAAAAGUCUUUGGAAGAAGGUGUAUGGGAAAAGAGGGCUCUCAUUAGAGAAAUACCUGGUGAAUUGAAUCAAACUAGUGACAGUGUAACUAUCACAACACCGUCUAAUGCGAUAAAUGUAGACAACUCUGCAGGAAGUUUAGUUGUCGUCUCCACCCCAUCCGCUGACCGUGGGAAAGUUAACACGUCCACUGUAACAAUUAUUUCUGAUCUUCCAGAUCCGUCCAAUAGUCUUGCCUCAAAUAUAAGUCAAGUUACCGUGGUGACUACUCAUCCCCCUGUCAUAAUCGACAAUAUGCACAGCAUUUCUCGCUUACCUAGUUCAUCAUCAGCGACAACUGCAGGAAGUAACGAAGUCGUUAUAGUUUCAAACGAAAUGAACAAAACUCACGUAAACGAAUCGUCUUCUACCGAUGAUGAAUUCUCACCAUCUCUAGAUUCUCUGGAAUAUCUCCCCCCUCUUGCGUUUCGGGACACUCGUCAGAUAAUGACAAAUGCUAAAAAACUGGACGAUAGUGAAGUGCUAAUCGCCGAUUCAAGCUAUGUAAUUAAUGAUUCUGGUCUGGACGUUUCGGAAGAUGAUGCCAAUCAUCCGCUACUAGAUACCAGCCACGUAUCUGUUGUCAAAAUAGACGAAGAAAAAGUUCAGGUAAAGGACUCCGCAUCGGUUGUGUAUGAUAGAAUGCGCGGAUCUACAAGUGAUCUGUCUUCGGCUAGAAGUGGAAGCAGUAAAAGUGGUAGCGAGUCCGCCACAUCUAUAAUCCUCGAUGGUAAAGAGGGAAAAGUUAACGGACAAAUCGUUUAUUCUACAAGCCAGGAUGAUGUAUACAAAAAGAAUAAAAAGAACAAUGCACUUAAUGGAAAAAUGUAUCCCGACAGUUUCGAAUCAAUUCCUUGCGAUUCCAGGUCGCAUAGCGAUAGUGGGGGCUCGGUCAGAAGUAAUGAUUCUUCCAGUAGACGUCCUAUAUCUAGUACAAGCAAGAGCAUUGAACAGUCAGAUGCAGAAAGCAUUUCCUUGGCUAGUCACGACAGUAGAGGUAGUAGUGGGAAGGAACAUAGAAAUGAAAGAUUGUCGGAGUCCGGAGAACAGGAAGAUGAUGUGGUGCUCAGAAGAAAACCACAAACAACUCGCAGCAUCAAGGAUGAAAUGAUGGCGCUUAACAACUUGAAUAGAAAGACGCGAAAACGGACGCGACGUUUUGUGAUAGACGGCGUAGUCAUUACAACGACCACGAGUAAGGUGAUUUACGGUGACGAUGACAAUAAUACGAUUAGCGACCCACAUCAGUUCCGUAAAUUAGAACUGCGCGAAUUGAAGUACCUACAAAAACAGGAACAAAAACAGUUCCAAGACUUGUAUUUGAAAGAAAAUCUUGCGACGGAACAGCAGGAGAAGCGAUUUGAGCAAGAACGCGUAGCUCUGGAGAAGACGUUUGAAAGUGACUUAGAAAUGCUCAGUCGACAGCAAAGAAUGCUUAUAGAAAGAGCAGAAGCUCAAUUGGACACAGAUCUUCGAGCUUUAUCGAAAAAAAUUCGAGCUGACCAAGAAAGAGAACUUAAACAAUUUCGUGAAGGUCUUAAACAAGAAUUGCGAUUGCUCAAGGCCGAAAUCGACCGACUUCCCAAAGAGCAACGUAAACAAGAGUACAAAACUCGCAAGGAAAAAUUAGACGCAGAACAUCUAGAACGUGAGCGCGCCUUUUUAGAAAAACUAAAUGAAAACCACGAAAGUUCAUUGAAGAGAAUGAGCGAUUCCCAUCGAGAAAAGAUUGCCUUAAUGGAACGACAGUACCUUCAACAAAAGCAGCAACUAACCAGAACAAGAGAGGCGGCUCUGUGGGAAAUCGAGGAGAAGCAAAUCCAUGAGAAACACCAGCUUAUAAAAAGACAGCUCAAGGACAUCUUCUUCCUUCAACGACAUCAAAUGCUUAACCGCCACGACAAGGAAAUGGAACAAGUUAAAAGAAAGUCGGCCAAAAAGGAAGAAGACUUGCUUAAGAAGCAAGCAAUUGAAAGAAGGGCGUUACCGAAAAGAAUACGUGCCGAAAUGAAAGCACGGGAGAUGAUGUUUAGAGAGUCGAUGCGUAUUUCCGUUUCUGGAGGCGUGGCAGAUCCUGAAGUAGAUAAGAACCGAUUUAAAGAAUUCCAAGAAAACGAAAAGAUACGUUACCAAGCAGAACAACAUCGGUUUGAACUUAAACAUCAACGACAGUUAGAAGAACUUCGAGCCAUGAACGAAGCAACAAUUAAAGAAUUGGAACAGUUGCAGAAUGAAAAACGCAAAAUGCUCACAGAACAUGAAACCAUGAAAUUGAAGCAGCGCGAAGAAACAUAUGCACAAGAACUGCAAGAAUGGAAAGCUCAAUUGAAACCCAGAAAACAGAAAUUAGAGGAGGAAAUGUAUACAGAACUAGUGUCUGCAGCAUGUACUAAAUAUUUAAUGCAAGUGGUGCCUUGGGCUGGCAGUACCUCGACAGACGACGCUCGAAGUGUCAUCAGCGAUUACAGUUAUAUCUCGCCUUUGUCUUCGAUUCGUGGAAAUCGGCCUGUUACUGUGGAUGGCCAAUUGCAUUCUAAACGUCCUGGUAUUACCACGAGGUCUCGUAGCUCCGAAAAUCUCGCAAAUAGGAAAAGUAUUUCGCUAAAACGAGCCGUGGAGACUAAUCCGGAUUCUAACGUCUAAAUCAAUGUUGCUCAAAGUUGUUUUUUUCUGUUGCCUUUUAGGUUGCUUUCAUUUUAUCCUUUGUAUUCGUUUUCUUCGUGGUUAGGUUGUCCUUUACAUGUUCUUCAUAGUUGAUUCUAUGUUUUGAACAUUAACAAAUUGAAUUUUUAUGACGUAUAAAAGUGUCUUGGCAGUGUCUUGUAAUUGUCUUUGUAUUUUGUUGCAUUUCUCCAUGUUGUAAGCAAAGGCGUACUUUAGUGUGAACCCCAUUAAUUUUGUGUGAAUAUUGUACGUAUAUAUGUUCUUAAAUUCGUCGUUAAGAAUUUCCGAUUAGUCUUGUUCCACUCUUCUUCAAACUGAACAGAAAUUGGAAGAAGCAUUCCUACAACAACUGGAGGAACAAGUGAGAAUUUACGGGCCAAUAGGCUGCACAUUGCCCGCAGAUCUUCCUGAACUUAGUCACGAUCCUCGGAUCGGACUCGGGUCCACACGUAGUAGCUUAUCUUCCAUGUCGGAAGGUUAAAAGAGAAGGCUAAUCUAACAUUUUCAAGAGGCCUCCGUCCAUUGUUAUUUCGUUUUUUUUUUGUCGUCAGACGCCCAAAAGCGCAUUCAGAUAUUAUAUUAGCAGUUCGAAUCAAGGGAUCUGAAGUUUAGGUCAAAAAUCAAUACACCGGUCCGGACUUUAAAUAAUUGCAUUGUAAAUACAUAAAAUGUUAUACAUAGACUGAGUAAAUAGUUACGAGAUUUUUGAGAUAGAGAUUAAGUUACGUAGAGUUGUAAAUCGUAUUACACUA